RNAcentral lists this long non-coding RNA (225 nucleotides) under Vigna radiata. RNAcentral's name for it is "long non-coding RNA (VRAD_LNC003325)". Lineage: Eukaryota; Viridiplantae; Streptophyta; Magnoliopsida; Fabales; Fabaceae. The record is from RNAcentral.
UCAAAUUUUAAUAUAUCAUUAAAUUACAAUAUGCAUUUUACAAUAUGCAUUAAGCCACUCUUUGAAUUUUACAUUAAUUCUUAAUAAGUACUCUUUAAUACUCACUUAUAUUGCAUUUAGUUCCUAUUAUAUGAAUCAUUAUUUCCUACAUUUAAUUAAAAAAUAAAAUUACAAAAAAAAAACCUAAAAAAACUCUCCAAUAUCAUAUCAAAGCUUAAUUCACCC